GGCCUCUCAGGGUCACACCUGGAGAGCUUCCAGGACUCUACCAGUCUUGGCUAAAGGUGGGAGGGUCGAGCAGAGGCCCGUCCAUUCCAUUCCUAGCUUGGACAGUGGCUAGCAAGUGGAAAGACAUUCUGCUACAAGU
Small nucleolar RNA from Ornithorhynchus anatinus (platypus), 139 nucleotides. The record is from RefSeq and is a predicted model, not a curated record. Lineage: Eukaryota; Metazoa; Chordata; Mammalia; Monotremata; Ornithorhynchidae.